UACGUAGGGGGCAAGCGUUGUCCGGAAUCAUUGGGCGUAAAGCGCGUGUAGGCGGCUUGGUAAGUCUGCUCUGAAAGCCCGGGGCUCAACCCCGGGAGGCGGGUGGAUACUGUCAAGCUCGAGUCCGGAAGAGGAGUGUGGAAUUCCUGGUGUAGCGGUGAAAUGCGUAGAUAUCUGGAGGAAUACCGGUGGCGAAGGCGGCAUCCUGGACCGACAUUGACGCUGAACGGCGAAAGCUAGGGGAGCAAACGGG
RNAcentral lists this ribosomal RNA (253 nucleotides) under uncultured bacterium. RNAcentral's name for it is "partial 16S ribosomal RNA". It matches the Rfam family "Bacterial small subunit ribosomal RNA", at positions 524 to 776 of the family's 1533-position model. The record is from RNAcentral.